Molecule: ribosomal RNA, 401 nt
Filed under: uncultured bacterium
Lineage: Bacteria
Description: bacterial SSU rRNA
Rfam family: Bacterial small subunit ribosomal RNA
Source: RNAcentral
CGCUGGCGGCAUGCUUUACACAUGCAAGUCGAACGGCAGCACGGGGGCAACCCUGGUGGCGAGUGGCGAACGGGUGAGUAAUGCAUCGGAACGUGUCCUUAAGUGGGGGAUAACGCAUCGAAAGAUGCGCUAAUACCGCAUAAUCUCCGAGGAGAAAAGCAGGGGAUCGCAAGACCUUGCGCUUUUGGAGCGGCCGAUGUCUGAUUAGCUAGUUGGUGGGGUAAUGGCUUACCAAGGCUUCGAUCAGUAGCUGGUCUGAGAGGACGACCAGCCACACUGGGACUGAGACACGGCCCAGACUCCUACGGGAGGCAGCAGUGGGGAAUUUUGCACAAUGGGCGAAAGCCUGAUGCAGCAACGCCGCGUGUGUGAUGAAGGUCUUCGGAUUGUAAAGCACUUUC